CAGUCGCCGCGGGAAUACGUAGGGGGCAAGCGUUGUCCGGAAUUAUUGGGCGUAAAGCGCGCGCAGGCGGUCAUGUAAGUCUGGUGUUUAAUCCCGGGGCUCAACCCCGGAUCGCACUGGAAACUGGGUGACUUGAGUGCAGAAGAGGAGAGUGGAAUUCCACGUGUAGCGGUGAAAUGCGUAGAGAUGUGGAGGAACACCAGUGGCGAAGGCGACUCUCUGGGCUGUAACUGACGCUGAGGCGCGAAAGCGUGGGGAGCAAACAGGAUUAGAGACCCCAGUAGUCCCUGUCUCUUAUACA
Molecule: ribosomal RNA, 301 nt
Filed under: uncultured bacterium
Lineage: Bacteria
Description: partial 16S ribosomal RNA
Rfam family: Bacterial small subunit ribosomal RNA
Source: RNAcentral